AAUACAGCCUCUGGCCCUUCCCCUCCUGGGCACCUGCUGGCUUCUCAAGCCCCUCCAUGUAGUUCCCUGCAGGGCUCCUCAGAGCACCCCACCAAGAGUCAGAGUGGGGACCUACACCUGGGACCAGAAGGACCAUGUCUACCAACAGGAGGAGGGCAGUCAGGAUGGGCCUAUCAAGCUGGUCGGCAGUGUGGGAAGCCAGCUGCCUGGUUGCCAGUCACCCUCUGGAGAGCCCCAUAUGGCAAGGAACUGACGCCUCCAACCUGUAGCAAGCGAGGACUUGAGGCCUGACAACAGCCACAUGAGGAAGCUUGGAAACACCUUCUCUCCCAGUCGGGUCUUAGGAUGACUGCUGCCCCAUUGACACCCAGACCACAGCCUUGCCAGUGAUUCUGAGAUGAAAGCACCCAGAAAAGUACUCCCAGAUUCCUGAUCCAUUGAAACUCUGAGAUAAUAAAUGUGAACUGUUUUAAGCUA
Long non-coding RNA from Mustela lutreola (European mink), 477 nucleotides. RefSeq lists it as uncharacterized. NCBI's taxonomy places the organism in Eukaryota, Metazoa, Chordata, Mammalia, Carnivora, Mustelidae. The transcript has 2 exons. The record is from RefSeq and is a predicted model, not a curated record.